Molecule: ribosomal RNA, 263 nt
Filed under: uncultured archaeon
Lineage: Archaea
Description: partial 16S ribosomal RNA
Rfam family: Archaeal small subunit ribosomal RNA
Source: RNAcentral
CACGACUACAUUAGAUACCCGCGUAGUCCCAGCCGUAAACUAUGCGCGUUAGGUGUAUCGGUGACCACGAGUCACCGAGGUGCCGAAGGGAAACCGUGAAACGUGCCGCCUGGGAAGUACGGUCGCAAGGCUGAAACUUAAAGGAAUUGGCGGGGAGCACCACAACGGGUGGAGCCUGCGGUUUAAUUGGACUCAACGCCGGGAAGCUCACCGGAUAAGACAGCGGAAUGAUUGCCGGGCUGAAGACUCUGCAUGACUAGCUG